RNAcentral lists this ribosomal RNA (1157 nucleotides) under Bacillus siamensis. RNAcentral describes it as "bacterial SSU rRNA". It matches the Rfam family "Bacterial small subunit ribosomal RNA", at positions 96 to 1234 of the family's 1533-position model. The record is from RNAcentral. Lineage: Bacteria; Bacillati; Bacillota; Bacilli; Caryophanales; Bacillaceae.
ACGGGACGGGGUGAGUAACACGUGGGUAACCUGCCUGUAAGACUGGGAUAACUCCGGGAAACCGGGGCUAAUACCGGAUGGUUGUUUGAACCGCAUGGUUCAGACAUAAAAGGUGGCUUCGGCUACCACUUACAGAUGGACCCGCGGSGCAUUAGCUAGUUGGUGAGGUAACGGCUCACCAAGGCGACGAUGCGUAGCCGACCUGAGAGGGUGAUCGGCCACACUGGGACUGAGACACGGCCCAGACUCCUACGGGAGGCAGCAGUAGGGAAUCUUCCGCAAUGGACGAAAGUCUGACGGAGCAACGCCGCGUGAGUGAUGAAGGUUUUCGGAUCGUAAAGCUCUGUUGUUAGGGAAGAACAAGUGCCGUUCAAAUAGGGCGGCRCCUUGACGGUACCUAACCAGAAAGCCACGGCUAACUACGUGCCAGCAGCCGCGGUAAUACGUAGGUGGCAAGCGUUGUCCGGAAUUAUUGGGCGUAAAGGGCUCGCAGGCGGUUUCUUAAGUCUGAUGUGAAAGCCCCCGGCUCAACCGGGGAGGGUCAUUGGAAACUGGGGAACUUGAGUGCAGAAGAGGAGAGUGGAAUUCCACGUGUAGCGGUGAAAUGCGUAGAGAUGUGGAGGAACACCAGUGGCGAAGGCGACUCUCUGGUCUGUAACUGACGCUGAGGAGCGAAAGCGUGGGGAGCGAACAGGAUUAGAUACCCUGGUAGUCCACGCCGUAAACGAUGAGUGCUAAGUGUUAGGGGGUUUCCGCCCCUUAGUGCUGCAGCUAACGCAUUAAGCACUCCGCCUGGGGAGUACGGUCGCAAGACUGAAACUCAAAGGAAUUGACGGGGGCCCGCACAAGCGGUGGAGCAUGUGGUUUAAUUCGAAGCAACGCGAAGAACCUUACCAGGUCUUGACAUCCUCUGACAAUCCUAGAGAUAGGACGUCCCCUUCGGGGGCAGAGUGACAGGUGGUGCAUGGUUGUCGUCAGCUCGUGUCGUGAGAUGUUGGGUUAAGUCCCGCAACGAGCGCAACCCUUGAUCUUAGUUGCCAGCAUUCAGUUGGGCACUCUAAGGUGACUGCCGGUGACAAACCGGAGGAAGGUGGGGAUGACGUCAAAUCAUCAUGCCCCUUAUGACCUGGGGCUACACCCCGGUGCCUAACAAAGGG